Molecule: long non-coding RNA, 842 nt
Filed under: Monodelphis domestica (gray short-tailed opossum)
Lineage: Eukaryota; Metazoa; Chordata; Mammalia; Didelphimorphia; Didelphidae
Description: lncRNA (ENSMODG00000047073.1)
Source: RNAcentral
CUGCAGCACUGUGACAAUUUGGCUGUGGACAAUUUGGCUAUGACAGUUUGGAUCCCAGGUUAAGAACUUUGAUCUAGAAGGAGGAAGUGAUCAACAGUGUAAAACUCUGGGAUAAAGGCCAAGAACAGUGAAGACUAAAAAGAAAUCAUAGAAUGUGGCCAUGAAGAACCCACUGGUGACUUUCAAGAGAGCAGUUUCAGGAGAAUGAUGAGAAUAAAAGCCAGACUGCAAGACAGAAGGGAAAGAAUGGAUGUUGAUGAAAACAAGCAAAAAAGUUACAACUUUAGAGCAAGGAGGUCAUAUAUCCAUUUUAAUCUUAUCUUAGUGAAUGACAUAAGAUAUUGGUAUAUACUUAGUUUCUACCAAACAACUUUCCAAUUGUCCCAGCAAUUUUUACCAAAUAGCAAGUUCUUAUUCCCAAAACUUGGAUCUAUGCUAUUGUCAAAUACAAGGUAACUAUAAUCUUUUACUACUGUUUGAUGUAUGUCUGUUCUGUUCCACUCAUCUACCUUUCUAUUUCUUAGCAAGAUAAUUUUGGUAAUUACUGCUUUAUGAUAGUUUAAAAUCUAGCACUACUAAACCUCCUUCCUUUACAUUUUUUUCAUUAAUUCAUUUGAUGUUCUUGAUCUUUGUUCUUCCAAAUGAAUUUUGUUGUUAUAUUUCUCAAGCUCAAAAAAUUUUUGUUUGGUAAUUUACUUGGGAUGGCAUUGAAUAAGAUUAGUUUAGGUAGGGUUGUCAUUUUACUUAUUGUUAGCUCUGCCCACCAAUGAACAAUUAAGUAUUUCUCCAAUUAUUUAAAUAUGAUUUUGUGUGUAUAAAAAGUAUUUUAUAAAUUAUGUUUA